This is a long non-coding RNA of Biomphalaria glabrata, 1053 nucleotides long. RefSeq lists it as uncharacterized. Lineage: Eukaryota; Metazoa; Mollusca; Gastropoda; Planorbidae. The transcript has 7 exons. The record is from RefSeq and is a predicted model, not a curated record.
UUGAAAUUACAACAGCUGCCACCAAUUGGGAGAACAUUGCAACUCAGGUUCCAAAUUGGGUUAUACUUUAUUGAGUCUAAUGAGUUGACUACAAAAUACUGUACAAUUGGCAACACUAAAUUUCUCCUUAAUUUAUACUAUACUGAACCUGUACUGGACUCUCUUCUUCUGAAUUUGGACUGGAUUCUACUGUACCAGAGGUCUUGACUUUGCCACUCUCUCUCAUAAAAUAGGGUCUCUGAAUGUCACCUGCCCUUUUUGGAUGAUCACAUUUAUCCCAAGGAUGUUCUUCUUGGAGUGUGUCACACCAACGGUUUUCUAAAUGAUAGUGACAGAAAGUGUGCAUCGCUCAACAUGGAAAUGUUUUGUAAAGAUGGUUACAUCUCUUGGGAGACACUGGUUUAUAUAACAGCAGAGCUAAAAUACUUGAUGUUCAGUUGAGAAUCAUAGCAGCUGACGGUGGGAUGUCCAAAUGAUGAUAUUACUUAUGAACUUGCUGAGGCUGUCCUGGAUUGACAAACUGGAUAUUGAAAGAGUGUUAACAUAGCCUGACAUCAAAGAUCACAUAAACUCUUUAACCAUUGUAUUGAUGCAAGAAACUGAAAGAUUCAAUAAACAGCUUCUAAUAAUCAAGACUUUGCAAUUUAUAGAACAGAUGAUGUUAAAGGUCAUCUGUUUCUUUGGCCAAUGGUUAACAAGCAGGAUAUCAUGAGGCAAGCACAAUGACCUACUUUCAAGUAGCUUUCAAGUAUAACAGUCUCUCUAGCGAGAUUGUAAGCCCAAGCCACAGAAAUACAUUCAGGCAUCAUUAGAAAAAACUGAAAAAAGCAAUCAAAGGUUUUGUAGUGAUGAGUGAGGAAUUAGAGAAUGUAUACAGUGCAUUUUUAAAUAACCAUGACAUUCUAACUUUGUUGUAGCUACCUAUCUUAUUUCUAGCAACAUACAAGAUUACUGGAUAGCCAAAGGUGCAGCACUCUUAUGUCAAAUUUCUGAUAAAUUUUGAUUACAGAUAAAUUGUAAAGCAUUAAACAAUAAAAGCAAUGUCCAAUAAAA